This 561-nucleotide long non-coding RNA is filed under the name Homo sapiens (human). RNAcentral describes it as "HSALNT0022926". Lineage: Eukaryota; Metazoa; Chordata; Mammalia; Primates; Hominidae. The record is from RNAcentral.
GAGCUUCCUGUCUUGAGACGCUUUCUGCUUUCUCAUCUUCCUGCUAAUGAGUUGCCUUUUGUGUGUAUCCCACUUCCUGUCCCACCCAGCCCCAAAUGUCCGUGGAACCGGCCCCACUAACCUGCAUCCAGCUGCCUCUUCCACCUGGGCCCUGCUCUCAGAUGGAAGUGUCACCAAACACCCAGAUCGCCGUGCUCCUGCUUCUCUGGGUUCAAUGAGACCCUCCACCCAGAUGAGCAUGAGCCCAGCCAGGGUGGGCUGUUCAGUUUCUUCCCUGGGAAUCUGGAGCUGGAUUGAGCUGGUCUGCAGCCUGGUCUGAGAGCCCAGCAGGCUCGAGACACUGCAACCUGGCCUGGCCGUGGGCAGGCAGGGAGUGGAGGUUGCGGCAUCGUCUGGGCAGAGGAGCUGGGGCGUUUGCCAGAAGUCUCCAACGGGCCAUCUGGUCCCAGAGAGCAGAGCACACAGCCUCAAGAAAUACGAGAAAGGCGGCAGGGGCAGGACAAUCCAUGGAAGAGAAGACUCUGAAGCUCAGUUCUCUUCCACCUUGAAUUAUGCUGAGAU